UCUCUGGUGGUCCAGUGGUUAGGACUAGGCACUUUUACUGCUGAGGGCCCAGGUUUGAUCCCUGGUCAGGGAA
Molecule: non-coding RNA, 73 nt
Organism: Balaenoptera musculus (blue whale)
Lineage: Eukaryota; Metazoa; Chordata; Mammalia; Artiodactyla; Balaenopteridae
Source: the annotation of a RefSeq genome assembly